AAUGAGGGUCGUCGCUCGAAGGUUCUCCUCGCCAGUCUUUCCUGAGCUCUCUUGUCGAACUUCGCGUCCUCGUGGAGAGCUCGCAGGAACAUGGCGGGAAUGCCGGACGACGGUGAUGGCCUCGUGCCGGAUCAGAGCCCCCCGUUGGGUGAAGCAGACCUGCUGAAUACAGAGAACGAAGAGCUUGGUCGCUGGAGCCACUUCUCACUUGCCAUGCUGGCAGCUGAGCAAGAAACGGCUUCUGCCGAACAGCGUGGAGAGGGCUGUGACGACGAUGAUGACCCCUCUGCUCGGCGUCAUGAGCUUGAGGAGCCUGAUCCUGUCACUAAGCUGGAACGCUAUGCUUACAGUGACAUUGUCUUCAAUCGGCAGCUUGUGGCUCGGAAUAUCGUGGACACCUUACGUGUUUGCCUAAAUUCUCAAGAUGCGGUCAGUGCAGUGUUGGCCGCCCUUUCUUCCAUAUCUAUGGACUGUGAACCAAGUGUGCGGACGGAAGUGGUCGAACAGCUUCCAAACAUUGCCAGUUUUUGUGCCAGUGAAGGUGGACUGCUGGAAAAUGUUGUCAAAGAACACGUGGUUUCAAUAUUGGUGCAGUACCUUACGGAUGUGGCCAAUCAGGUCAGAAAAAGGACCCAGGUGUCCCUGUUGUUCAUAUUGGAACAAGGAUUGAUAGAUCGCAAGCAGCUGGAAGAACAGAUAUGUGGUCUGGUCGUGCAUCUCACUGAAAGUGAAAACAUGGAUGACUAUCGCAUGGAAGCAGUAACGCUGAUGACUAAAAUGGCACCUUACAUUGGAAAAGAAACAACUGCUGCAUUGUUUCUUCCAAGAUUCGUCAAUCUUUGUCAAGACUCUUCCUUCCAUAUCCGAAAGGUGUGUGCUGCCAACUUUGGAGAUUUCUGCAGCAUUGUGGGGCAGGAAUGUACAGAAGACAAUCUUGAUGUCUUUCAGAUGCUGUGUGAAGACUGCGUCUGGGGGGUCCGCAAGGCUUGUGCAGAGGUUUUCAUGCCAGUCUCGUGCGUUUGCUCUCUGACCACACGUCGCAGUAGCCUGGCACCACUCUUUCUUAGCUUGCUGGAUGACCAGUCACGAUGGGUUCGGAUAGCAGCCUACCAGGCUCUGGGGCCCUUCAUAUCAACAUUUGCCAACCCGAUGCGCACAGGACUGUACUGCAGUGAAGAUGGGGUAGUGAGUGUGCAAACACCAGAAGACCAGUUCGAUGCUUUUAUUGAGGGAGAGGCACCCAGCACAUCUGACAACCCAGCGUUGCUGACAGCUUUUGAAAAGCCUGCUCCUUUGAAAGAUACUCGCACCAGUGAUUUGCCUCUUACUGGCACUGUUGGUGAUCCUGAUAGAGACCUGGCGAGCUUUGAGGUGGCUGCAGUGGAUGGAGAUGAAGUGGGCUGUGCUGUGCCAGAGAAAGCAGAACAGCAGGCAGUGUGGAAAGAUGACAAAGGGGAGCAAGCCUGUACCAACUCCUCUACGGCCACAGAAGACAGCACUUGUGGCUGUAAAAGCAGCCCUUCUUUUACGGUUUCUUGUGACAACACAAAAGACUUGCCUCCAUGCAGCACUGCAGAAGACGUGGCAGACUCGACCUUGGCUGUACAAGGAUUGUUCAAAAGAAACAUGCCUCUAAAGGACGGGUCUAUAGAGGAAGCACGCACACAGAGCUUCAAAAUUAGGGAGCCGUUGUCUGUACAAGGGGACAGGCAGAGGCUAGUUGUUCAUGUGGAUCCUGGAGCUGAGAGCGAUUUCAACACAUUCCAGUUUUGGCGGGUGCCUAUUCCAGAGGUGGAAGUGGACAUUGAAUUCUUAGGUGAUCGUCCUACAGCUGUGCAUGUCAGGGCAAUGUCUCAAGACAAAGAAAAUCUAUGUAUCUCUUCUGACGUCAGUGUUGAAGUACUUUGUACAGACACCCAUCAGUCUGCUACAAAUGCAGUCUCAUCUGCAGGACAAGCCGACACUGUUCCUAAAGAAAGGCGCUUCGGUGAUUCAUCUACUCUAAGAAUUCGGACGGCUUUAUCUUCACUAACAUCUGCUGACCAAGACUGUAACCUCUUGCUUUCUUCUUCAUUCACUGAAGCUUCUGUGGCUUUUAAUGAUGCUGGGGAAGUUGCAGGUGUGCACAAAGUACGGAUGAGCAACUCAAAAGAGAUGGCAGGCAGUGAAAGCAAGCUGCUUUCGAUAUCUCACAACACUCGUUCUGAUAGCUGGUCUGCACAUGAACAAGACAUAGUACCUGUGCUGUUGCUGGAGCGGUAUCAGACAAUGACUGAUCCUAAUUUGGCUCAGAAUUUGGACUCUGAAAUAGGACGACACUGUGCCCAUAGCCUACCUGCUGUGGCACUUACCCUUGGGCGCCAGUACUGGCCUUGCCUGCGGACCACCUACCGCUGUUUAGUGUCUGAUGUGCAGUGGAAGGUGCGGUACAUUGUGGCAUCCUGUUUGCAUGAGCUAGCCACUAUCCUGGGCCCAGAAAUUGCUUCACGGGACUUGGUGCCAAGCUUUGAAGGCUUUAUACGAGAUGUGGAUGAAGUGAGAGCUGGCCUGCUUGAGCGGCUUGCACAAUUCUUGCGUGGCUUGAGUAGAGGAGACCAGCGCCGCUCACUGCCUUUGUUGGCAGACUUCCUCUGCAUGGAUAACAGUCGGAACUGGCGCUUUCGAUCCACUCUAGCAAGGCAGCUGAAGGAGAUCGCUGCGCUAUACUGCCCAUUGGAUAUUCAUCAGUACCUAGUCCCCAUUGUCAACGAGUUACUGGCGGAUAAAGUGGCUGAAGUGCGCCUCACAAGUAUUGAUGCUGUUCCGGAGCUUCUUGUUGGACACUUUGUCGGGACCUGGAGCUGACUCGGUCUUGACAGUCUGCAGGACUGCCCUGAUUUCUUGCUGUGAAAGGUCUCUGUCAAGAUCUUCGUUGCAAGAGCCCAAGUAUUCCUGGUGUUCGACUGCCGGGGGUCUGCCGAGGUGAUCAUAUUCUUGCACAAAUUGGAGCCUCACCAUCUCAUGUGUAAGCAGCUCUUACAAGAAAUUUGCACCAAAGUACAUGACCAGAAGUGGGCGCAGCGUCAAUU
Molecule: unclassified non-coding RNA, 3068 nt
Filed under: Rhipicephalus microplus (southern cattle tick)
Lineage: Eukaryota; Metazoa; Arthropoda; Arachnida; Ixodida; Ixodidae
Description: serine/threonine-protein phosphatase 4 regulatory subunit 1-like, transcript variant X1
Source: RNAcentral